Molecule: ribosomal RNA, 1565 nt
Filed under: Escherichia coli O25b:H4-ST131
Lineage: Bacteria; Pseudomonadati; Pseudomonadota; Gammaproteobacteria; Enterobacterales; Enterobacteriaceae
Description: partial 23S ribosomal RNA
Rfam family: Bacterial large subunit ribosomal RNA
Source: RNAcentral
GAAUGCUGACAUAAGUAACGAUAAAGCGGGUGAAAAGCCCGCUCGCCGGAAGACCAAGGGUUCCUGUCCAACGUUAAUCGGGGCAGGGUGAGUCGACCCCUAAGGCGAGGCCGAAAGGCGUAGUCGAUGGGAAACAGGUUAAUAUUCCUGUACUUGGUGUUACUGCGAAGGGGGGACGGAGAAGGCUAUGUUGGCCGGGCGACGGUUGUCCCGGUUUAAGCGUGUAGGCUGGUUUUCCAGGCAAAUCCGGAAAAUCAAGGCUGAGGCGUGAUGACGAGGCACUACGGUGCUGAAGCGACAAAUGCCCUGCUUCCAGGAAAAGCCUCUAAGCAUCAGGUAACAUCAAAUCGUACCCCAAACCGACACAGGUGGUCAGGUAGAGAAUACCAAGGCGCUUGAGAGAACUCGGGUGAAGGAACUAGGCAAAAUGGUGCCGUAACUUCGGGAGAAGGCACGCUGAUAUGUAGGUGAAGCGACUUGCUCGUGGAGCUGAAAUCAGUCGAAGAUACCAGCUGGCUGCAACUGUUUAUUAAAAACACAGCACUGUGCAAACACGAAAGUGGACGUAUACGGUGUGACGCCUGCCCGGUGCCGGAAGGUUAAUUGAUGGGGUUAGCGGUAACGCGAAGCUCUUGAUCGAAGCCCCGGUAAACGGCGGCCGUAACUAUAACGGUCCUAAGGUAGCGAAAUUCCUUGUCGGGUAAGUUCCGACCUGCACGAAUGGCGUAAUGAUGGCCAGGCUGUCUCCACCCGAGACUCAGUGAAAUUGAACUCGCUGUGAAGAUGCAGUGUACCCGCGGCAAGACGGAAAGACCCCGUGAACCUUUACUAUAGCUUGACACUGAACAUUGAGCCUUGAUGUGUAGGAUAGGUGGGAGGCUUUGAAGUGUGGACGCCAGUCUGCAUGGAGCCGACCUUGAAAUACCACCCUUUAAUGUUUGAUGUUCUAACGUGGGCCCCUUACCGGGGUUGCGGACAGUGUCUGGUGGGUAGUUUGACUGGGGCGGUCUCCUCCUAAAGAGUAACGGAGGAGCACGAAGGUUGGCUAAUCCUGGUCGGACAUCAGGAGGUUAGUGCAAUGGCAUAAGCCAGCUUGACUGCGAGCGUGACGGCGCGAGCAGGUGCGAAAGCAGGUCAUAGUGAUCCGGUGGUUCUGAAUGGAAGGGCCAUCGCUCAACGGAUAAAAGGUACUCCGGGGAUAACAGGCUGAUACCGCCCAAGAGUUCAUAUCGACGGCGGUGUUUGGCACCUCGAUGUCGGCUCAUCACAUCCUGGGGCUGAAGUAGGUCCCAAGGGUAUGGCUGUUCGCCAUUUAAAGUGGUACGCGAGCUGGGUUUAGAACGUCGUGAGACAGUUCGGUCCCUAUCUGCCGUGGGCGCUGGAGAACUGAGGGGGGCUGCUCCUAGUACGAGAGGACCGGAGUGGACGCAUCACUGGUGUUCGGGUUGUCAUGCCAAUGGCACUGCCCGGUAGCUAAAUGCGGAAGAGAUAAGUGCUGAAAGCAUCUAAGCACGAAACUUGCCCCGAGAUGAGUUCUCCCUGACUCCUUGAGAGUCCUGAAGGAA